This 74-nucleotide transfer RNA is filed under the name Caudoviricetes sp. RNAcentral describes it as "tRNA-Ile". It matches the Rfam family "tRNA". From Rfam's summary of the family: Transfer RNA (tRNA) molecules are approximately 80 nucleotides in length. Their secondary structure includes four short double-helical elements and three loops (D, anti-codon, and T loops). The record is from RNAcentral. Lineage: Duplodnaviria; Heunggongvirae; Uroviricota; Caudoviricetes.
GCUGUUGUAGCUCAGUGGCAGAGCAGUCACCUUAUAAGCGACAGACGAGGGUUCAAAUCCCUACGACAGCUCCA